UUUGUUAUCUUAUUCGGGUAACAUAGAGCCAAAUGGCGCAAGGUUGGCAUAUCAUCAUCUGAUGAAAGUGCAGCACUGCCGCUGUUUCCACACUAAGAAUACUCAUAACCUAUCCCAACCUGAGUGGAUAUAUAAAUUCAGAGGGAAAAAUCACAAACUAUACUAUACCGAUACAGCUAGAUAUCAAGAUUCUCAGGACACGAUGUCUAAACUAAAUUACCCAACAGACAGUUUGAAUCAUGAAUAGAAUAUAGUUAACAUAACCCCCCAUGCAAACGGUCAUCAUGUAUCAGCUAGUAAGAAAGGAGGGAACAAAUCUUGAUUAACAGAACAAUGGAGCACCAUCUUUAGAGAUUGUACAAACUGUAAAACAAAACAAAAAAAGAAAUCGGUCAGAGUAAAAAAACAUGACUGGAUAUAUAUACAGCUGGAUAUCAAGAUUCUCUGGAGAAAUGCUUAAACUAAAAUACUAAUAAAAAACGAAUCAUGGGCCAUUCAAAAACAACUUCAUAUAGAUAUAUACCCAACAAAGAGUUUGAAUCAUGAAUAUGCAACACACAUCGCUGACAUGACCCACCAUGCAAACGAUCAUCAUAAAUAUCUUUGGAACCCACAACUCAACAUAAAGAUGACAAAGACAAACAUGUAUACCAAAUAGCAUCUGAAAACAUAUCAGGGAAGAUAAUUUUCUGGCAGAACCAAGCAUGCGUAUGCAACUAUCUAAAUAUAUGUGUUAAACAGCCACUGGAAACAUUGCUAUAGAACAGACCGGAUAAAGCAAUUUCCACACAGAACAAUGCAUGCAUGUUUGCACAACCAAUCAAACACAUGUAUAGAAUAGAUACUGACAAACAAUUAGUCUAGAAAGACUAACUAUGCCGGAGCAAGUUGAUCAUGAAACUCCGUACCAAGACAUCUCCAGAUUUUUCCGGAAAUGAGAGUUCAGUAAGCUACUACCUUCAGCCUCCUAACUGAUUUGAGAGCAGCAUUUAUUAGAUUUUAGAAACCUAAAAGAAACAUUAGGCACAUUUGAAUAAACAUUCAAGAGAAGGGAACUGCAAAACGAAAUUCAGUAAACAGAAACGCCGCUAUAGCUCAUGACUAAAUUGACUCUCUUUCAGAAAAAAGUAGGAAAGUGUAACCACCUUAGUAAAAAAAAAUAGAAUGAGCAUGCUACCAUGCCCUUGCGCAGGUUCAAGCUACAUUCAAAGAAGGGACGUCUAUUGAACAAAAACUGGGUCGACAGUAUUUUGCAAUAGCUAACUAUGCAACUUUUCUCCACAAAUAUGAGAUAAUUUAAAUGGCAAGAUCAUGUUUGUUUUCCCCUUAUUUUCAGUUGGAUUGUAAUAACUCAGCAGCAAAGAGUACACCGCCGUGGUUUAGUCUACCAAUCUGAUUCAAUUCAAGAAUGGGUAGCCUAUUCUCUUGUAUAUGUCAGCAAGCUCUUUUUUGUACUCAAGUCAAAACUAAGCAUAAAUACCUACUCACCUACAUAAGUUGCUGUUGCACAUGCCCAUGUAUUUGGUGCAAGUUGAGGCCUCCUUUAAGUAACAUUAUGACCACUCUUCAUACCUACAAACACCAUCAAAGUAUGAAGUCAAAGCGAGGUGGAACCGUGUAAGGACUAAAGAAAGGGAAAGUGUCCGAUUCAUAAGCAAAGAGAGCAAGAGACCGAACUUUCAGAACAUUUAGGUUUAUUAGUAAGGACAUAGUGGUAACAUUUUCUUAGUAAUUAAGCUCGAUGGAAAUAAAGGUACUUUUCAUGUAUGACGCCCAAAAAAAGUUUAAACAUCUUUUCCUUUUGCUGUACCAUGACCAUACCACAAUGUGAGCUGCAGACAGGGAAAAGUUCAGAUCCAAAAUCAUAUCUAAUAGAUAUGUUUGUACAUUAAGGAAAAGAAAAACAUUACUCGUAGCAUUCUGCAAAAACACAUUAAGAAAUGGAGCUUUUGGACCAGUGAAUUACACUAGUAUUCUCAAAAUACCACAUCUACAAUCUCACUGGUGAGAACCAGUGCAGGAUUAAGAAAUUAUCUAAGUCUAUAAGCUUUUCAUGAAUGAUGCCAGACUUAUUUUUUUAUUGCAAGAAUCAAUGCUAGCAGGCUGUUUUGUAGAGUUAC
This 2120-nucleotide long non-coding RNA is filed under the name Triticum aestivum (bread wheat). RNAcentral describes it as "long non-coding RNA (TAES_LNC021040)". Lineage: Eukaryota; Viridiplantae; Streptophyta; Magnoliopsida; Poales; Poaceae. The record is from RNAcentral.